GGAGUUAGCCGGUGCUUCUUCUGUGAGUGAUGUCCUUCCUGCCGGUUAUUGACCCGAAGGCCUUCUUCCUCACUGAAAGUGCUUUACAACCCGAAGGCCUUCUUCACACACGCGGCAUGGCUGGAUCAGGGUUGCCCCCAUUGUCCAAUAUUCCCCACUGCUGCCUCCCGUAGGAGUCUGGGCCGUGUCUCAGUCCCAGUGUGGCUGAUCAUCCUCUCAGACCAGCUACGGAUCGUCGCCUUGGUGAGCCGUUACCUCACCAACCAGCUAAUCCGACAUAGGCUCAUCCGAUAGCGCGAGGCCCGAAGGUCCCCCGCUUUCCCCCGUAGGGCGUAUGCGGUAUUAGCCUGGGUUUCCCCAGGUUAUCCCCCACUACCGGGCAGAUUCCUAUGCAUUACUCACCCGUCCGCCGCUCGCCACCAGGGAGCAAGCUCCCCGUGCUGCCGCUCGACUUGCAUGUGUUAGGCCUGCCGCCAGCGUUCAAUCUGAGCCAGGAUCAAACUCUGA
This 507-nucleotide ribosomal RNA is filed under the name uncultured bacterium. RNAcentral describes it as "partial 16S ribosomal RNA". The record is from RNAcentral.